ACAAAACAGAAAGUACGCAGAUUAUGGAUACACUUCAAGAAUAUAUAUUUGGCACUUUAAAUUUUCGAGUAUGUAGGUCCGUACCCGAAGAUAUCAAAUGUUUGUGUAUAGAUUAUGUUUUACAAAGUAAAUUUGGUGAAGAAAUCAUUGUAAAUACAAUAUUUCAUAGCGUGGCUAGAAAACUUGGUCUACGUUGCGAUGUAGUAGAUAUUUGGUCUCACUGCUGUAUAUCUUGGAAACCAGAAUUCGUCACGAAUAAUUUAGAAAAUGCAAGAUGUUUUUACAUAAAAGACGAGAAAUUCCCGAAUUGUCUUCAUAAUUAUCUGCAAAAUUACGAUUCUUAUAAAACAUAUGACUUCAGCAAAAUAAAAACUGAACAGAUGUCGUACAUGAUAAAAAAUUUAGUUGAUAAGUUUAUAAAAAAACAUAAAAUAUUCAAAUUGGGAUUAAUCCAAGGGAUUUGUAAUGUGUAAGAAACAUCCGCGCGCUAACAUAAUCGCAUAUUAGUAUAUAUACCAUUGUAAAAAUAAAGAGCAUUAUCAAUCUACAGAUUCGGACCAACAUAAUAGAUAAUAGGAUGUUAUUGACAUAUACAUAGAUACAUACACAUGUUCGGCAAUUGAGAAUCAACGAUGAAUAAAAUAUAUCUAUUAUUUUUCUGCGA
This is a non-coding RNA of Nylanderia fulva, 664 nucleotides long. Lineage: Eukaryota; Metazoa; Arthropoda; Insecta; Hymenoptera; Formicidae. The record is from RefSeq and is a predicted model, not a curated record.